UUAAGACCAAGAGCCUCACGCGCCCACGAUGAAUGGGGGGGGGGCUUUGGCCGAAGAACCUCCGAUGCCAAAGUUAGAAUUUAGAGAGAAAGAGUGUUUAGAGAAUUUUGGGAUUUUUGCCAAAGUGUUGGAAUUAGCUUUUUGGUGAGAAUGGGAGUAUAUUUAUAGGGAUAGGAGGUGGCUAGGGUUUUUAGGUUUAAUUAGCCAAUUUAUUUGGCUAUUAAACAUAAAAUGAAUGUUUUGGUGGUUUUUUGUAUAAUUGGCUAAUAAAAAGGAAGAAAUGGUGGGAAAAGGUAGAAAAAAGGUAAUGGAUUAGGUUUUUCAAUGGGAUAGCCGGCCCUCUUGUGUUUUUAGGUUUGAGUGGAUGUUUCAAAUUGACAAUUAAGGGAUUGAUUAGGUAAUUAAUCCCUUAAUUAGUCAAUUAUUAUGAUUUUAUGAAAUAUGAAAGGAAUAAGUAUAUUAUUUAGCUAAUUGAUUAGCUAAAUAAUGAAAUGGGAAAUAUAUGAAUAAAUUAGGUUUUAAGUUGAUACCUAUUUUGGGCACUUUUGACUUGGUUGAAAAAAUGAUUCUCUACUGCUCGCGUGUAGGAAACCCGGUAUGCCUCGAGGGUAUUUUUGUCCUCUUUUGUCCAAAAGUCCACCUGUCGCCUAGUGAAUAUUUUUGGCUCCACAAAUGCCCCCACACCUGUUGGGCUGCUCGCAAAAAAAGGGCAGCAGGUGUAGAGAUCUUCUUGCUUUAGGAAACUUAAGACUGCUUCCUAUUUUGAUGUUGAUUCUCUCUUUAAUAGGAAAUUAGAUCCUUCUAGGAAAGGGAAAUAAAUUUCUCUCAAAGCCUAUUUAACUCCACCUUAAGUGGGUUAUUAAAUCAACUUUGGAAAGCAAUUUAUUCUACCCUACAAGAGAGAGAUAGCUUAGAGGAUAUUUGUUCCCCCUCCUCUAGCAAUCUUCUACAUCUUGCCCGUGCAAAGGACCGUCUUUCGUUGCUUUCUUCGUCUUCUUCGUGCCGCACCGAUGUAAGAAAAAUUUAAUUUUUCUUGCCUUAUUCUUGGAUAGUGCUAUUGCGGGGCAGUCGUCGGGGUGGUGCGGCACAUCGGCUGGCAGGGGCCAGGAGUUGGCUCGGCAUGGGCCGAGGAGAUGUUGUGGCAGGGACCACUGCUUGGGCAGCUUGGCUUGGCUUGAGCCAAAAGGCAGCUUGUGCAACUAGGGUCGCGGAUUGUGGCGCUGGGGCGCAGUGCUAGGCGAGCCGCAUGGCUCAUGUCCUUUGGGCUCUUGGACCUGACUCGGGCCAGGCUGGUGAUUGAGAGAAAUAAAGAGAUUGCGGGUCUCAUGGGCUGCUGGAAUGUUGGGCAUGCAGGCCUCCUGCCUGUUGGAAUGCUGGGUUGAGCUCCCCUACUGAGUACCAUGAAUGUAGUUGGCUGCUUAGUCCUCUUUGCCGAAAGAAAGGUGGGUUGCUCCAGAAAGAGGAGGUAAAGAGGAUCAAGGCGGAUGCAUUGGCUCGUCUGAUCGCUGUCGUGGAGCUUACUAUGAAUGAAGAUGGAAAGAAGAGAUCUUCCCCGCCUGCUCAUGAGAUGCCAGUUAAGAAAAAACUGAAGACUUCUUCUGCUGCUCAUGAGGGUCCGCUUGCUACCGAGAGGUAUGUGAUUGACAUGAUUUUCCAAUGGGAAGAAAUGUAAGGCUGCUAGAUCUGAGCAUGUGGCGUCUUCCAUGUUGAGAAUGGCUAGUACAAUUGUGGAUAAGAUUACUCAGCGUAAAGGUUUUAUCAUGCCCCCAGUGCCGAAGUCUGUACCAGGACGUUCUUUGGGAGCCAAGUCUGGUUCACCUUUGUAGAGACUUGCUAUUAUGAAGAGUGGUAAGGUGGACUCUGCUGCUAAAGUGGCGCCAAAAGCCUGCUCCCUUUGCUGCUGAGAUUGAUUCGCCUCAGAUUCAAGAUCUUAAGCUUGCAAUUUCUGAGCUUCGUUUCGCUACUUAUGCUAAGAAGAGAGUGGAUGAGCUUCUCUAUUUCUCCGGAAGACUUGCUUGCUUUUACUUUUAAGGCUUCCAUUGGUGAAGUAGUUGGAGAAGUUAGUGCCCAGACUGGGGCAGCCGGGGGUGAAGCGCCGGAUGAUGCCGCUGCUAAGAGCGUUACGGCUGUUGAAGGUGUGGCGACCGAGUAGUCGUGGAAUGUCCAAGCUGCUGUAGUGUAGUAUUUUAGGUAGCCUUUAGGAUUUUCUUUGUUUUUCCUUGUAGCUUUUGUUCUGCUUGAACUCCUUCAACCUUUGCUAGUUGUUUAUAAACAUGUUUUCCUUCGUUUUUCUUCAUCUUCACUUCUUUUGUUCAUGCCCUAACCUUUAGACUUGAUAGACCAGUGGCAGGCAUGCUACUUUUUUAUAAGCAGACAAACUCGCGUAGCCUAUGCAGCCGUAGAUGUUGGUGUAGAACUUUGCAAAGUUGUUAGCCAUAGGGUUGGCAGCCGGAUGCCUUACUUACAGAAGCAGAGCAAGUAUCACAUUACGCGUAACCACUAGGCUGUUAACUUUGACUUUCUUCAAUUCCAUAGGUUGCGUAGCAAGUAUCACAACACUUUAGGACUUGGUGUAGGUUGUUCCGCGCUUGGCAGAGGUGAAGCUUAUCGACUACGUAGCAUGUCGGCAGUGGAUAAAACUUCGUAUAUGCGCGCUAGCUUGUCUAACCUUUCACAAGAAUGUGCGGUUGUAUAAGUCUAGUGCGGCUUUACUGCUCGAAGGGCAAGCCGUAGGCAAUCUUCCGGAAUCCGUAGGUUACCUUAGUGCACUCGGUAGCAGCUUUAGGAUUCCAGGGCAGCCGUCCAUCGGAUGUACUGCGUAAUGUGCCCUCUCCGUCUCUAGGGCCCGGUUCCCCACGGAUUAGGCCAAGAGACCCAAAAUCCUUCAGUUAGCUAAACCUUGAAAAAGACCAUUGCGGCUACUUCUAGGAAUCCCGGCGCAAGCCAUCGUGCAUCUAGUUAUACUAGGGCAGCCAGGCUCAUCCACGUCUGGAUAUUCGGAGUGUAAAGUUUAUCCUCCCGUCUUGGAGAGCUGACCCAUAUGGGUGUUGGAGAAUUGGUUUACCCUCUCGCACUGGAGAGCAUGGUUGGUCCCUCGGGGGGCGCAAUUCCUGCGAUAAGUCCCUAAGAAGGGUGCAGUCUUCUUUUGAAGUGCAAGAGUGAUUAGUUGUUGUAAGCAUGCAGCCAAGCCAAGUUGUGAUUACUUCUAAAUUCCUCAUUGAAAAACGAGUGAAACGAACGAGAACUUUAGCUGUAAAGUAGGAACUGCAUAACAACUGGAUAGUCCUCAGCUUGUGAGGUGGUGCCCGUCGAGCUUAUUGAGUCUUCGGGUUUUGAUGUAGCGGGAGGUCACACAUGGUACUUCUUCAGAUUGUAGGCCAUCCAUUUUUUUUUCAAUCUUUUUGCCGCUUCAUGGUGGUGAGGGUGUAAUUACUCUUGCCCCCUACUCUGCUGAUCUUGUACGGACCUUCCUAGAUGGGAUCCAUCUUUUUGGAGCCUUCUCUGCCGGCAGUGAUGAAGGCUUUUCUGCGCCGUCGACAUGCAAAUGCCAGAAGUCUCCAUCGGGUGGAGUAGGCGCAGCUAGAGUGUGCUCGGCUACUUCUGAGGCAUCGUUGGGCCGCUCUGUUGCGUCACCUAGGCUCGGCGUGAAGGCGCAGUAGGGAGCUAUGGAGAUGGGGCCAUGUCAUACGCAACAGGAGAUGCUCAACUGCGGGUAUUGGGCCACUCUAGAGUUGAAUCAUUGAGCAAAGGUCGGCUAGGGCCGUGUGAUGCGCAACAAGAAAUGGUACUCAACUGCCGUUACAUGUUGCUCCUAUGUAGAAUCCUUCAGGGUGACGAGGACAAAACUUGCUUUCAAGUGUAUCUUUCCAGUGUUACGUUCGUCAGAAAACUUUACAUCCGCCAGGGUCUACGCCUUUAUCGUCGCGCGUCUGGAUUGGGCAGAAUAGUACGUCAUUAAGAUGAUUGCAUGCGUUUGAAAGUAAGAUUUGUGUUUCUAGGUUGCAACAACUAUCGCCAAAGUUAACUUUUGAAUUUUUAAUAACAUCGAUGAGAGCUUUUGAACUGUAGAAUACAGGUAACUGUGGAAUACAGGUAGUCGGGCCCCCAUCUCUUCUCGCAUGAUGGUAGAGCUUAUUGCUACUUUAGAUAACGUCAAACAUGUGAAUAAGUCCUCCGCUGCUUCUAGGGAGGUGAUGUCGGGUACUUCUUCAAGUUCUUGAAUGUGCAUUGGCGAGCCUCAUCCCAAAGUGCAUACUUCUCUGCCAAAGCAAAAGAGUCUGCCAGAGUUAGAUCUUCUUUCAUGAUCAAUUUUCCGAAUAGCGGGUGGUCUGCUGGAAGUCCUUUUUGGAAGGCUGCUCUAGCUAUCGAGUCGUUGCAUCCGACUAUUUUUGCCUUCUCUACUUUGAACCUCCUCACAUAGUCGCGAAGCGACUCCUUUGGGUUCUUCUUGACGUUGAACAAAUGAUCAGACUUCUUUUUUAUUGAGCGAUAGGAUGAAUAUUCUUUGGUGAAAACCAAAGAAAGUUCGUAGAAAUCCCAGAUGGAUUGUGGCGGCAGGGUGUAGAACCAAUCUUGCGCCUCGCCUUGUAGAGUAGUGGCGAAUAUCUUGCACAUGAGCUCAUCGUUGUUUCGAUAAAGGAUCAUUGCGCUUCGGUAGCGCUUUAAGUGUCUCUCCGGGUCUUCAUCCCCUUUGAAAGAUGUGAAAUGUGGCAUGCUGAACUCUCGUGGAGGCUCUGCCUGCUCGAUCUCGUCCGUGAAGGGUGACCUGCUUAUGUUGGUCAUGUUCCGUCGUAGUGCCUCGUUGGUGACCUCGUUGCGUUGGAAAUCAUGCAAUCGCUUGGUCAAGAGUCUCUCUACUUCUUCCUGAAUUUGCCUUUGUUGGGGGUAGUGCAGCUCUCGGCUGCCCCCAGCCAUGACUUGCUGGUCUAGGCUGCUCUUCCAUGUGUUUUGGCUCGUCUAUGCCGCAGAUGCAGUGCAUAUGGUGCAUUCCUAGCAGGCGAGCGAGUUCUUCGCAGGCUGCUGGUUAAACUUGAGCUGGAUUGAGUGACUGCUUCUCUCCGUCCGUCGUGCUGCCUACUCUGAUGUGAGGUGGAUGAUGCUCCUUGUGGGCUUAGCCGCGAAUGAACAUUUUGUCUGGAAGGUUGCUCAUGUUGACUAUCGGAGUGUGACCCCAACCGUGAAUGUAUGCUCAUCCGUGGGCCUAGUCGAGAGUACACGCUCCUCCGCGCGCUAAGACGAGAGUAUACGCUAUCUCGGGGGCCCAAUCGGGAAUGUACACUGCCUGAACGUUCAGCUCGUGGCUGGUCGAAUGGCUGCUUGCUGGGAUGCUGCUGGAAAGGUUCGUCUGCCAUUGUCCUACUUCGGGAUACCUCAUCCGGGGCACGUUGGAUCCCGAUGCGUUGCAAAAGUUGAUUCACCAAAGUUGUCUGUUGUGCAAGAGUGCUCGUCAACUCUAUGACUUGUCGAGACAAGUGUUGUUCGCCAUUUGGAUUGGAAGAGCUUGGAAGGAAUGCGCCUCCUUGAGCAGUGGAAGGGUGGUAGACUCCGGGCGCGAGAUUUGAGUUGGGAAAUGUCAAAUCAGCGAAAAAAUGUGGUGAGAAUGCCCCCGGCUCAAUGGUAGGUCCAGAUGGUUGAGAUAGUUUUGGGCCGACUUGGGCUGCUUGGAAAGCCACGGGAGCAGUGUGGGCCUUAAGAGUGGGCUGCUCGUCGGGAGUGGGCUGCUCGUUGGGAGCAGGCUGGGUCACGAGAGCAGGCUGCUUGGCAGGAGCAGGUUGCUUGGCGGGAGCAGGCUGGGCCACGGAAGCAGGCUGCUUGGCAGGAGCAGGUUGCUUGGCGGGAGCAGGCUGGGCCACGGAAGUAGGCUGCUUGGCAGGAGCAGGCUGGGCCACGGGAGUGGGCUGCUUGGCAGGAGCAGGCUGGGCCACGGGAGUGGGUUGCUCGACGGGAGCAGGCUGCUCAAUGCGCGGUGCAUGUGAAUGCGAGGCUUGGGCUUGGGUCCACGUGAACUUGGAUGGCACGGCUUGGAUCGUGGUCUUGGUACCGUGAGCCUUGGAUGGCACGGCUCGGGCCGUGGUGAAGGCUCCAUGGACCUCGCCACGAGUGGCUACCGAAGUAGCCAUCGUGGUGGUUCCCAUGGUGGCCGUGGUGAAGGCAUCAUGGACCUGUAGCCACCACGGUGGUUCCCAUGGUGGCCGUGGUGAAGGCAUCAUGUGGAAGCUCGUGGUGAUGAUGCCGCUCCCCUUAUUGUCGCAUUUUGCCUUACGGAUCUCCGGGUCGUGGUGAAGGCUCCAUGGACCUCGCCACGAGUGGCUACCGAAGUAGCCACCGCGGUGGUUCCCAUGGUGGCCGUGGUGAAGGCACCAUGGACCUCGCCGCGGGUAGCUACCGAAGUAGCCACCACGGUGGUUCCCAUGGUGGAAGCUCGUGAUGAUGAUGCCGCUCCCCUUAUUGUCGCAUUUAGCCUCACGGAUCUCCGCAAUCCCAUUUCUUGAACAUUAGAAUUUUCACUUGUGGAAUUUUCUAAAUUUCUAGCCAUUAUAUUUUGCUUAUACGUUUUAUCAAAGAACCUUUGCAAGUAAAAAAUUCUAAUAAUAAGAACGUAUGAAAAAUAUUCAAAUGGACUAGAAAAUAAAGAAAAAACCUUUUUUGUGCAAGAGUCUUCUACGAGUAUGGAUUUCAACUCUCAAUGAAAGCACCAAUUUGUGGAUGCAAAUUUCUUCCUCCUCGAUCUUGGACGAUUUUGCACCUACAAAACAAUUAACACCUUAGGUUAAGACCAAGAGCCUCACGCGCCCACGAUGAAUGGGGGGGGCUUUGGCCGAAGAACCUCCGAUGCCAAAGUUAGAAUUUAGAGAGAAAGAGUGUUUAGAGAAUUUUGGGAUUUUUGCCAAAGUGUUGGAAUUAGCUUUUUGGUGAGAAUGGGAGUAUAUUUAUAGGGAUAGGAGGUGGCUAGGGUUUUUUAGGUUUAAUUAGCCAAUUUAUUUGGCUAUUAAAACAUAAAAUGAAUGUUUUGGUGGUUUUUUUGUAUAAUUGGCUAAUAAAAAGGAAGAAAUGGUGGGAAAAGGUAGAAAAAAGGUAAUGGAUUAGGUUUUUCAAUGGGAUAGCCAGCCCUCUUGUGUUUUUAGGUUUGAGUGGAUGUUUCAAAUUGACAAUUAAGGGAUUGAUUAGGUAAUUAAUCCCUUAAUUAGUCAAUUAUUAUGAUUUUAUGAAAUAUGAAAGGAAUAAGUAUAUUAUUUAGCUAAUUGAUUAGCUAAAUAAUGAAAUGGGAAAUAUAUGAAUAAAUUAGGUUUUAAGUUUAUACCUAUUUUGGGCACUUUUGACUUGGUUGAAAAAAUGAUUCUCUACUGCUCGCGUGUAGGAAACCCGGUAUGCCUCGAGGGUAUUUUUGUCCUCUUUUGUCCAAAAGUCCACGUGUCGCCUAGUGAAUAUUUUUGGCUCCACAAAUGCCCCCACACCUGUUGGGCUGCUCGCAAAAAAGGGCAGCAGGUGUAGAGAUCUUCUUGCUUUAGGAAACUUAAGACUGCUUCCUAUUUUGAUGUUGAUUCUCUCUUUAAUAGGAAAUUAGAUCCUUC
RNAcentral lists this long non-coding RNA (7571 nucleotides) under Malus domestica (apple). RNAcentral describes it as "long non-coding RNA (MDOM_LNC005225)". The record is from RNAcentral. Lineage: Eukaryota; Viridiplantae; Streptophyta; Magnoliopsida; Rosales; Rosaceae.